GGAAUGCAAUCUUCUAAUUAGAGGAAAAUAUGUUUGUAUAAUUCCUAAAUUGUAGAUCCCUCUGAUUAGGAAUGCAAUCUUCUAAUUAGAGAAAAAUAUUUUUGUAUAAUUUCUAAAUUGAUCCCCUGAAAAUUAAUAAAAAAUAUCCUUUUGGUCCUAGAGAAAGCAUUACUUCUUCCUCUGAAAUCCUCGUCUUCACCUUCUCUUCUAUUUUUUCUGUUUUUCAUUAUGGUAUCAGAGCUCUCUGUUCCAUAAAUACGC
This 261-nucleotide long non-coding RNA is filed under the name Elaeis guineensis (African oil palm). Its description in RNAcentral is "long non-coding RNA (EGUI_LNC039604)". Lineage: Eukaryota; Viridiplantae; Streptophyta; Magnoliopsida; Arecales; Arecaceae. The record is from RNAcentral.